GUGCUUGCUUUGGCAGCACAUUUACUAAAAUUGCGACGAUACAGAGAUUAGUAUGGCCCCUGCACAAGAAUCACAUGCAAGUUCAUGAAGCAUUCCAUAUUUUU
Small nuclear RNA from Otolemur garnettii (small-eared galago), 104 nucleotides. The record is from Ensembl. NCBI's taxonomy places the organism in Eukaryota, Metazoa, Chordata, Mammalia, Primates, Galagidae.